CCUACGGGAGGCAGCAGUGGGGAAUAUUGGACAAUGGGGGGAACCCUGAUCCAGCCAUGCCGCGUGUGUGAAGAAGGCCUUUUGGUUGUAAAGCACUUUAAGCGAGGAGGAGGCUACCUAGAUUAAUACUUUAGGAUAGUGGACGUUACUCGCAGAAUAAGCACCGGCUAACUCUGUGCCAGCAGCCGCGGUAAUACAGAGGGUGCGAGCGUUAAUCGGAUUUACUGGGCGUAAAGCGUGCGUAGGCGGCCAAUUAAGUCAAAUGUGAAAUCCCCGAGCUUAACUUGGGAAUUGCAUUCGAUACUGGUUGGCUAGAGUAUGGGAGAGGAUGGUAGAAUUCCAGGUGUAGCGGUGAAAUGCGUAGAGAUCUGGAGGAAUACCGAUGGCGAAGGCAGCCAUCUGGCCUAAUACUGACACUGAGGUACGAAAGCAUGGGGAGCAAACAGGAUUAGAUACCCUGGUAGUCCAUGCCGUAAACGAUGUCUACUAGCCGUUGGGGUCUUUGAGACUUUAGUGGCGCAGCUAACGCGAUAAGUAGACCGCCUGGGGAGUACGGUCGCAAGACUAAAACUCAAAUGAAUUGACGGGG
RNAcentral lists this ribosomal RNA (589 nucleotides) under uncultured Acinetobacter sp. Its description in RNAcentral is "bacterial SSU rRNA". It matches the Rfam family "Bacterial small subunit ribosomal RNA", at positions 338 to 918 of the family's 1533-position model. Lineage: Bacteria; Pseudomonadati; Pseudomonadota; Gammaproteobacteria; Moraxellales; Moraxellaceae. The record is from RNAcentral.